Molecule: non-coding RNA, 2652 nt
Organism: Sus scrofa (pig)
Lineage: Eukaryota; Metazoa; Chordata; Mammalia; Artiodactyla; Suidae
Source: RefSeq, a predicted model, not a curated record
UGGCUCUUCCACCCUGUGGGGGACACGUCUGAGGAGCUGCAGCCUUUUCAUUUUAGGGAUUUUUUUUUUUUCCUUCAGGUGGAUUCCCAGAGGCGGGAUUCCUGGGUCCACGACUGCAAGCUUUUUUCAUUCUCAUCAUUCCCCGCCGGACCCCGUGAAUCGGCACACAGUUUGCUCAUUUUCCGCCCUAGAGCGGGUCUGCACGAGCGGCGGUCUCGUCUGAAGUCAGCUUUCUAACGCCUGCGUCUUCCCCCACAGGAGUGUGAUUAGCCCCAUGCUUGCCCACUGGCUCAUUAGCUAAACAAGGCCCCGCACUUGGUGCAGGGAAUAGGCAGUGAGCCUGAGGUCAAGGCCCGCCCUCAGGGCGCUGGCCGGCCAGGGGGAGAGAAGUGCUAAGACUAGGUAAGAGCAGGGACUGCGGGCAGGGCAGCCUCUCUCCAAACUGUGCCAGCACCAGCACAGGGGGAGGUGUGUUGGGGGGUGGGAUGCUGCCAGGUGCGUGUGUGUGUGUGUGUGUGUUUGGGGAGGCUGGAGCAGCUGGGAGGGCCCUAGCAACUGUCCAAGGAGGGGCUCAGAAUCAGGCUUGUGUCUGAUGUGCCCGAGAUGCAGCCAAAGGUGAUCCCCUGUAGUUCCUGUGUGUGCAAGUCUAAAUCACCCGGUCUCAGUCGACUGGCACGGGUGGCUCUGCUGAUGGACCGUCUCUGUUCACACCACCGUCUACCCUGCGGCCCACUCUCCUACCUGGCUGACCCUUUUUGCCUCUCGGCUUUGCGCCUGCUGCUCCCUCCUCUCCUUGCCCAUCUCCACCCCUACCUGGUGACCUUCUAGCUGGGAGUGUUUCUGCACAGAGCCUAGAGCCCCCUGAGGGCGGGGUCAUUGCUAGCUAGUCUCCAGACUCCGGGACCUGGCAGACAUGGGCACUCGGGGGGCAGUUGCUGACCCAGGGGUUACAUGCCAUUUCUCCCAACCAGAGAGCCAGAGCAGCAGCAGCUGUCAGUCAGGACCCACAGGCUGCCAGGCUCCCACAUGCUGGGCUCUGACUCCAGCCCCGCAUCCUGGCUGCGGAGUGCACAUCAACACUGAGAAAAGUUCUGAUAGAAUCUGGUGGUGGAGGAGCAGAUACCACAUCAAGGCACGAUCACAACCACAUAAAGUCAUCUCCACACAGAGAUGACAUCAGACAAGAACGUUAGGCCAUGCAAGCCGUUGACCUGUUGGGGUGGCGAGCUAAUGGGGGAUUAUUUUCCAUCUUUUCUAUUGAUUUCUCUGGGUGUUACUGUAUAAUUAGCACACGUGCAGAAGAUGGGUAAGUAAACAGACCUUUCCACUUGGCGUGAUGAGCCCUGGGACUCUGGUGGGUCCAGGGUGGGGAGCGAGCAUCCUGCCGGGGAAGGGUGGCAGAAGGGCUGACUGCAGCGCCCGGAUCAGGCAGGAGGGAGCACAGAGGGCAGGCGACAGGCUUCACAUUCACACAGAGAGAAGGCAAGGCUGCAGGGCAGACAGAGCCCAGAGCGCGAGGGGCCAGCUGCCAGGCUGAGGACCCCGGCACACUCCACCAGCAAGGGGGCCCCAGAAGGACCCCGUCGGAGGCCCUCCACCAGGGUGCAUCCAAACGUCUCCACUGGCAUCUGACGCCCUGGCGGCCAGCACAUGAGCCACACCAGGGCAAGCAGGCCUGUGGUAACAGCUGAGGGGUUACUGAGGACCCCAGAUCAGGCAGCUGGGUGGCUGCCAUGGCUGCCUACUUCCCCCACACAAGGAGCGCCAGCCGGGCGCAAGUCGAUGCUGCCAACCAGUCUAUUUCCAGCUGCACGAGGUUUGGAUGAGGCCAGUGACAGGGAUGGGUGCUGGGGCCGGCAGGGCCGGGGCUGGCUACCGGCCACCAUAAACAGCACGUUGGUGCUCGGAAAGGCUGGUGGCUGCAGCGUCUGCCCAGAUGCAGCCAGGCCCGGCCAACGUCCAGGGUGACCCUGAGCACCACCCAGGGCACCACCCAGGUGGCCCCAGAGUAAGCGAGCUGACUGGCACAGGAAGGGCUGCACAGGAGACUCGGGGGCACCCUUAUUUGUUGGUAAUGCCCAUUUUAGGCACACCGGUCAGUUCUGGCUUGGGGCGUGUUUGGUGGCAGGGUAUUUUUAAAGAGCCUUCCCAAGACACUUAUUUGUUGUUGAUUUCUCUGAGUUCUGACCAAGCCCUUGGCACAUGGACUGCAAACAAGAAAGAUGAAGGAACGUGUCUGCUUGCCCGUCCUGUCCUCUGCAGCGGGGUGUUUUUCUUUGCUGUUCAUGGACUUGGCACUCUCCCCCUUGGGACAGAGCAAGACUUCUUCCGCAAGCCACCAAAUGGAGACCUAGUCAAAGGCCAAAGAAUUUCCAUCAGAUGAACAGUUGUAAAAAGCUGGGAGGAGAAGCGAGUCUGAAUCCAGCUUGUCCUUUGACAGCAAAUUCCCUCAACUGAGCAUGCUGAGAUCACCUGAACGUGGGCCAAGAAGAGGGGCGGGGGGGACCCAAGUAGAGAGAUCAGGAAGAAACCGCUCCGGUCUACCUUGAAAAGUACUGGUGUUUAUGGAGGAAGUCUACGGCUGUCCGAAGCUGUUUAGUUUUACAUUAAAUUGGUCAGCAUUUUUUUCCCCAGCAAGAAAUGCACUUGAGC